CUACCGGGGUAUCUAAUCCUGUUUGCUCCCCACGCUUUCGCGCCUCAGCGUCAGUAACGGGCCAGUGUGUCGCCUUCGCCACUGGUGUUCUUCCGAAUAUCUACGAAUUUCACCUCUACACUCGGAGUUCCACACACCUCUCCCGCACUCUAGGUGCCCAGUAUCAAAGGCAGUUCCGAGGUUGAGCCCCGGGAUUUGACCUCUGACUUAAACACCCGCCUACGCGCCCUUUACGCCCAGUAAUUCCGAGCAACGCUAGCCCCCUUCGUAUUACCGCGGCGGCUGGCAC
RNAcentral lists this ribosomal RNA (289 nucleotides) under uncultured Caulobacteraceae bacterium. Its description in RNAcentral is "partial 16S ribosomal RNA". The record is from RNAcentral. Lineage: Bacteria; Pseudomonadati; Pseudomonadota; Alphaproteobacteria; Caulobacterales; Caulobacteraceae.